RNAcentral lists this long non-coding RNA (528 nucleotides) under Ursus americanus (American black bear). Its description in RNAcentral is "lncRNA (ENSUAMG00000010769.1)". The record is from RNAcentral. Lineage: Eukaryota; Metazoa; Chordata; Mammalia; Carnivora; Ursidae.
AGCUGGGUAACAGCUGGGCUUUGGGGACGUGCUCCAGGCUGGAGAGCAGCAGGAGGACCAGCCCGGGAGCCAGGGUGGGCAGCGAGGGAGACAGAUCCCAACCCGGGCCGGGGUAGCGGCAGUGGAACUGGUCUGGACUCGAGGCCCCAGGCUGUGUUCCAGGACGGCACCCUUGGCAUCUGCCCGAGCUGUGUGGUAAGGGCUCUCAGGUCCUGGUUCUGGGACAUCGUGUUUGGCCCUGGAGUUCAGAUGCUCUGAACAGGGACAGGGUGAGUCAGGGGGUACCUGGCCUAGGGCUUGUUGGCAGGGCGCUUGCCAGUGGACUCUGUCCUUUGGGGGGGAAGCCGAGGCCAAGAGAGGGGGAACUUCUGCCUCUGUCACCACACCUCUCCUUCCCUGCUGGGGCCACACUCCUCACCUCCUGCCAUUGCCAUGGUGACCCCAAGAGUCACUGCUGUCACCUCCCAUCUCCUGCCCAGGGCCCUCCCAGGACUGCGUGAACUUUAGUCACUUAGUGACAGACCGAGU